This 243-nucleotide ribosomal RNA is filed under the name uncultured bacterium. RNAcentral's name for it is "partial 16S ribosomal RNA". It matches the Rfam family "Bacterial small subunit ribosomal RNA", at positions 90 to 334 of the family's 1533-position model. The record is from RNAcentral.
CGGACCGGCCGCACGGGUGAGUAACGCGUAUGUAAUCUACCUGUAACAGAGGGAUAACCCGGAGAAAUCCGGACUAAUACCUCAUAGCACAUAUUAUUCGCAUGAAUUUUAUGUUAAAGAGACUCGGUUACAGAUGAACAUGCGUUCCAUUAGCUAGUUGGCGGGGUUACGGCCCACCAAGGCAACGAUGGAUAGGGGUUCUGAGAGGAAGGUCCCCCACACUGGUACUGAGACACGGACCAG